AGAGUUUGAUCCUGGCUCAGGAUGAACGCUGGCGGCGUGCUUAACACAUGCAAGUCGAACGAUCCUUCGGGAUAGUGGCGGACGGGUGAGUAACGCGUGGGAAUCUGCCCUCAGGAGGGGGAUAACGGCUGGAAACGGCCGCUAAUACCCCAUAUGCCGAGAGGUGAAAUGAAUUUCGCCUGAGGAUGAGCCCGCGUCUGAUUAGCUAGUUGGUGGGGUAAAGGCCUACCAAGGCAACGAUCAGUAGCUGGUCUGAGAGGAUGAUCAGCCACACUGGGACUGAGACACGGCCCAGACUCCUACGGGAGGCAGCAGUGGGGAAUUUUCCGCAAUGGGCGAAAGCCUGACGGAGCAACGCCGCGUGAGGGAUGAAGGCCUCUGGGCUGUAAACCUCUUUUCUCAAGGAAGAAGACCUGACGGUACUUGAGGAAUAAGCCACGGCUAAUUCCGUGCCAGCAGCCGCGGUAAUACGGGAGUGGCAAGCGUUAUCCGGAAUUAUUGGGCGUAAAGCGUCCGCAGGCGGCCUUGUAAGUCUGUUGUUAAAGCGUGGAGCUCAACUCCAUUUAAGCAAUGGAAACUACAAGGCUGGAGUGUGGUAGGGGCAGAGGGAAUUCCCGGUGUAGCGGUGAAAUGCGUAGAUAUCGGGAAGAACACCAGUGGCGAAGGCGCUCUGCUGGGCCAUAACUGACGCUCAUGGACGAAAGCCAGGGGAGCGAAAGGGAUUAGAUACCCCUGUAGUCCUGGCCGUAAACGAUGAACACUAGGUGUCGGGGGAAUCGACCCCCUCGGUGUCGUAGCCAACGCGUUAAGUGUUCCGCCUGGGGAGUACGCACGCAAGUGUGAAACUCAAAGGAAUUGACGGGGGCCCGCACAAGCGGUGGAGUAUGUGGUUUAAUUCGAUGCAACGCGAAGAACCUUACCAGGGUUUGACAUCCUGCGAACCCCUGAGAAAUCGGGGGGUGCCUUCGGGAGCGCAGAGACAGGUGGUGCAUGGCUGUCGUCAGCUCGUGUCGUGAGAUGUUGGGUUAAGUCCCGCAACGAGCGCAACCCACGUCUUUAGUUGCCAGCAUUCAGUUGGGCACUCUAGAGAGACCGCCGGUGAUAAACCGGAGGAAGGUGUGGAUGACGUCAAGUCAUCAUGCCCCUUACAUCCUGGGCUACACACGUACUACAAUGCUACGGACAAAGGGCAGCAAGCUCGCGAGAGUUAGCAAAUCCCAUAAACCGUGGCUCAGUUCAGAUCGUAGGCUGCAACUCGCCUACGUGAAGGAGGAAUCGCUAGUAAUCGCAGGUCAGCAUACUGCGGUGAAUACGUUCCCGGGCCUUGUACACACCGCCCGUCACACCAUGGAAGUUGGCCAUGCCCGAAGUCGUUACUCCAACCCUUGUGGAGGAGGGCGCCGAAGGUGGGGCUGAUGACUGGGGUGAAGUCGUAACAAGGUA
Molecule: ribosomal RNA, 1443 nt
Filed under: metagenome
Description: bacterial SSU rRNA
Rfam family: Bacterial small subunit ribosomal RNA
Source: RNAcentral